GGAAGGGCCACCCGAUUGGCGACGGGAACCGGUUGGAAGCCGGUCGAGUACAAGCGUGCCUUGCGGGUUCGACUCCCGCUCCUUCCG
Molecule: transfer RNA, 87 nt
Filed under: Planctomycetaceae bacterium
Lineage: Bacteria; Pseudomonadati; Planctomycetota; Planctomycetia; Planctomycetales; Planctomycetaceae
Description: tRNA-Ser
Rfam family: tRNA
About the family: Transfer RNA (tRNA) molecules are approximately 80 nucleotides in length. Their secondary structure includes four short double-helical elements and three loops (D, anti-codon, and T loops). Further hydrogen bonds mediate the characteristic L-shaped molecular structure. tRNAs have two regions of fundamental functional importance: the anti-codon, which is responsible for specific mRNA codon recognition, and the 3' end, to which the tRNAs corresponding amino acid is attached (by aminoacyl-tRNA synthetases). tRNAs cope with the degeneracy of the genetic code in two manners: having more than one tRNA (with a specific anti-codon) for a particular amino acid; and 'wobble' base-pairing, i.e. permitting non-standard base-pairing at the 3rd anti-codon position.
Source: RNAcentral